UUGGGACUUUGCGCGGCAAAGGUCAGGCCCGCCAUCACCCCAGCCCAGGCCUAGUAGCUUCCAGGAGGCGCGUGCGGGACAGAGGCCCUGCCGGGAAGCUGGCCCCCAGCCCCAUGCAGUCCUGCCUGUUGGAGGUGUUAGGCUCAAAAGCUACUACGGGGAGAUUGGGACAGAGUCCCACAGAGUCAGCAUCAGCUUUGGAGGUCAAGGGUGGCGUCAGCCCUUCUUCCCCUGGAUGGACCACUUUUUCCACCUGUGGAGAGGAGUGACACAACUUGCACCUUGGGUGAACAGUCCUUUAGCCUAGAGGACAGACAGCAUUGAGUCUCUCUCUGGUACCUCUUGGAGGCCACAACCCUAGCUUUAGGUCCUCUGGUGGAUGAGCACCAAGUGAGGAGGACUUGCCCUAGCUGUGCUGAGUGGAGGACAGAUGGCUCGUGGUGAUGUGCUGAGUCUAGUUGUCUGUGUGACAUAGUGACAGUCCCUGGGGGGAGGUGGAGGGCUUCCCAGAGAGGUGACCAGAACUAAGCCCUGAGGAUGAGAAGAGUCCUGGAAGCGGGAGUGGCUGUCCUUGUUCAGGAGCCACUGGGAAGCCCAGGAUGGGACAGCAGUGCACCAAGCAAGUGUGGGGCCUUUCUGAGUGUGGCUGUCUGUCGGUUCUGGUUCACAGUGGCUCUUUUUUGUUUUUUUUCCUUUGCUUUUGGUACCAG
This is a long non-coding RNA of Heterocephalus glaber (naked mole-rat), 710 nucleotides long. The record is from Ensembl. Lineage: Eukaryota; Metazoa; Chordata; Mammalia; Rodentia; Bathyergidae.